Non-coding RNA from Cricetulus griseus (Chinese hamster), 3266 nucleotides. The record is from RefSeq and is a predicted model, not a curated record. Lineage: Eukaryota; Metazoa; Chordata; Mammalia; Rodentia; Cricetidae.
CUCCUCCAGUGGCAGGAUGUGAGUCACCGGCAAGGGGGGACUCCAAUAAGGCGUCUGAUAAGAUAAGUCUUAUAAAAAUAUAGAUUUAUGAUAAUUGAGACUGAGCUAACAGAUGAGAAUCCUAGUCGGUGGCCAAGCAGCAUUUGUAACUAAUACAAGUCUCUCUGUGUAUUAAUUGGGGCCCUAACUCGGGCGGGCGGCUGGCGUAAAGUGCACACGUGGCGGUGGGGCUCGGCAGCUUUUGGCGGAAAGAUUUAUCAUAACACCUUUUCUCCAUUUGCAUUCCCCCCAUCUGUGAAGCAGUAAACAUGCUGGCUAUCACACUACUCAUGGCAAUGUUUCCUAGACCUUUCUUUGACCUUUUGGAAGCUGGCCAGUGUGGAAUUAUAUAAUGACGCUAUUUGUAUCUCCCACUUGGAAAGGCAACAUGGUUAAUGGCUGUGAGUGGCAUCUUGAAGUGUCAGCAUGAACAGCACCACCUUCAUUUGCAUGCUUCCUAUGUUUCUCAAAACUCUGAGAUUAUCAUUAUUUGAUAAUCAUUAUCAUUAUUUGAUCUGCUCAAGUUCGAACAGGAAAUUCAUGCCCAUUUCAAGAAACGACACUGAGGAAUAGGAAACUUUGGCGUUAGCUUCUGAACCAUAGCACACAAGUAGGAAACCAGGAUUGAUAUUGGACUAAUUCCUAGACCAACCUGAAAGCUGUUUAGAAUGAUGAGGAGAAGGGAAAACAUAGACAACCAUGUUUCUGUCCCUUGUUUAAAAGUUGAGUUGUUUUCCUUGGUAUACUAAAGGGAGUUAGACUGAAAGGGACAGGUUAGUAAGACUCAGCACAUGGAUUCUGAUAUUUUCUUAGACCCCAGAAAAAGUCAAUGUCAGUGGUGAGCUCUAAGCCAAAGAUAGAAGUUCUCUAUUAACUAUACCCAUGUGAUUUAAAUUAAUAUACAUAUUUGCUAAAAGGGAGAAAAGGUCUGAAUGUACCCUCUAAAUGUGUAUGUCGAUAACAAAAGCAUAGACAGAAUUAUUAGACAUAAUCCAGAUGUCAAGUGAGAGCUGGCACCAAUACAAUUACCCAAGGAUUCUCAUGGAUUAGGUGCCUGCAACUGAGAGAGAAAUACUACUGAGGUGUGAACUCCCAUCCCGGGAAAGGGUAGGGUAGAAGUGGGCUAUGGUUUGAAUGUGGCGUAUCCCCCAUAGGCUCACUCAUUAGAACACUUUUUCCCAGCUGGUAAGGCUGCUUUGGGAAGUUGUAGAACCUUUAGGGGGUGGAGCCUUGCUGGAGGACACAGUCACUGGGGUUGGGCCUUGAGGUUUGAUAGGCAGCUCCACUUCAGUCUAUUCUGCUUCUUGACUGCAGACACAAAGUGAUCCAUCAGUCACCUGCUUUUUCAUGAUUUCCUUGUCACGAUGGAUGACACCCCUCCUUCAACUGAGACAAAAUAAACUCUUCCUUCUAGGAAUAACCUUGUACUAGACAGAAGUGCACUCAGUCUCGGGAAGGAGGGUGUAAAUAGACAUCUGUAUCGGAAGAAAGAGGAUUCAAAGACAAAAAGAAGACAUCCACGAGGAAAGAUGAGAGUCAGGCUUGAAACUGAAAAGCUUCAAGUUUCCAUGGCUUUUGGAAAUGCCACUCCUCCAUCAUAAUUAGAAAACACUGACAUUGAGAGCUCAUUUAACUGCUUCCAUCGGUCUGGGGAAAAAAAAAAAAGCGUAGCCCGAUUUCGCUCUCUAACCAUGCUCGGUAAUUAGAAACAGAAGGCAUAGUUCUGAAUGUUUGCUUAUGAGCCUCCAUUUCCCGGGCCAGGCUUCAUAACCCAGUGGCCACACAGGGCUUAUCAGUGGUCAGAGAACUUUUAUCUUCACCAGAAGAAUGUGAGGUUGCCAUGAGCAUUCCCAGGAAGAAAAUGGGGACCCUGGGUACCACCUAGAUUUUUAAGAUACAGGGAAGAGUACUCUUGUGUCUCCCUGUUUCCUCCCACGCUGUAAAGCUGCUCUGCAUUUGAAAGGUAAGUCAUCUCCAGGAUGGCAAGAUCCACAGCCAACCCAGGACAGUCAAAAGCAGGUCUCUGUGCCUCCCAGCUCCAGCAACAUCCAGAUUUGUCUCUGAGCACAAGAAAGCUCUUUCCUCAGGACUGAUUCUUGAUUUUUCUGUCCUCUUGCUAAAAAGCCCAUGCUUUGCAAAAUGUAGGAGCAGAACCCAACCUAAGAAGCCACAGGCAGCAGGUUUGGCUUCUGACAAAAUCCACAAAGGGAAGAGGGAAAGGGGAUCUGUAAUUAAGGACUUCCAUCUGACAGGACCUCGUUUGUCAAAUUAAAACAUGUGGCCACAACUUGCUUGCUAAAGGAUCUUGGAAAAAAAAUUUUUUUAAAGAUUUUAUUUAUUAUGUAUACAACAUUCUGCUUCCAUGUAUAUCUGCACACCAGAAGAGGACACCAGAUCUCAUAACGGAUGGUUAUGAGCCACCAUGUGGUUGCUGGGAAUUGAACUCAGGACCUCUGGAAGAGCAGUCAAUGCUCUUAACCUCUGAGUCAUCUCUCCAGCCUCCCCCCCAAAAAAAACCCAACUUUUUAAAAAACAUAACUUCUGUUUUUCUACCUGACCUUAAACCUUUUGGGGAGCUCAUUUGCAUUUUUCAAUUAUUCACACUUAAACAAAAGUUGUCCACAUGCUGUAGAAAGAUGACUAAGCAAUUUUGUAUCAAGUAAUCAAAGAGAGUCCUGCCAAGUUUAGAAUAAUUAAAUUUCAGCAGCUUGAUAUAAACAGUUCCAAGAACUACAUGUGGCCUACCAAAGUAUAGAUUACAAGUAGUCAGCCCUGUGGCCAGCUGGCAGUCCGCUCCACCCAUUAAAAUAGAAUUGGUCAGAAUUCGGAGUAUUAUUUUUCUUUUCUCCACUCCCCUCCUGCCAAUAUUUUUUCUGCAUCCACAUUGUUUCUUUGGGAAUGUUUUCAAAUAUACAAAUAAUAAUAAUAUUAAAACUGUUGUGGAAUUUCACCUCUUGUAAACAAACAGGCAUUUCUCUUGGGAAGUGUCAGGACUCACAGACCAUUCCAGUGUCAACCCUGUCCACAUAAGCAGCAAAAAUGAGAUGGCAGGAAUGAGCUCACCCUGUUCCCACUCAAGGUGAAGUAUGACCACUGAACAAGUGGCUGUGGACAUAAAGUCAUGUGCCUAUCAGUUGCCAAAAUAUCUUACUGACUGCCUUUACCAGGUAGGCUGGGGAGCCAGAAUUUCUUGAUAAUAAAGAUAAUGUCUCACAAGUCCAAUUCCA